GUCUACGGCCAUGCUACCCUAAACCAGCCCGAUCUCAUCUGAUCUCAGAAGCUAAGUAGGGUUGGGCCUGGUUAGUACUUAGAUGGGAGACCACCUAGGAAGACCAGGUACUGUAGGCU
This 119-nucleotide ribosomal RNA is filed under the name Pteropus alecto (black flying fox). RNAcentral also lists the same sequence under 1 other name. The record is from RNAcentral. Lineage: Eukaryota; Metazoa; Chordata; Mammalia; Chiroptera; Pteropodidae.